Molecule: non-coding RNA, 213 nt
Filed under: Lactiplantibacillus fabifermentans
Lineage: Bacteria; Bacillati; Bacillota; Bacilli; Lactobacillales; Lactobacillaceae
Description: Lactobacillus fabifermentans T-box sequence
Rfam family: T-box leader
About the family: Uncharged tRNA acts as the effector for transcription antitermination of genes in the T-box leader family.
Source: RNAcentral
UUUGCGACUCUGACAAGGAUUAGUAGUCGACGAUGUUUUCCAGAAACUCCGUGGUCGUUGCAAACGGGGACUCAUCGUCGGCGAACUCACCUUCGAGUCAUCUGGCUGAAAGCAAUUGUAGGUUCAGACGUGAUUUCGCGUUAAGAAAAAUCAAGAGGCCAUGCAUUGCGUGGAAUCAUAGGUGGUACCGCGGAACCUCGUUUCGUCCUAUAA